GACGAACGCUGGCGGCGUGCCUAACACAUGCAAGUCGAACGGGACCAGGGGCAACUCUGGUUCAGUGGCGGACGGGUGCGUAACACGUGAGGAACAUGACCUUGCGGGGAGUAGCGGCCCAACGGCCGGGUAAUACCGCGUACGACCACAUGGGACGAUCCCUGAGUGGUGAAAGCAGCAAUGCGCCGAUGGAGUGCCUCGCGGCCUAUCAGCUAGUUGGGUAGGUAAACGGCGUCACCAAGGCGACGACGGGGUAGCUGGUCUGAGAGGAUGGCCAGCCACAUUGGGACUGAGACACGGCCCAGACUCCUACGGAGGCAGCAGUGGGGAAUAUUGCG
RNAcentral lists this ribosomal RNA (338 nucleotides) under uncultured bacterium. RNAcentral describes it as "bacterial SSU rRNA". It matches the Rfam family "Bacterial small subunit ribosomal RNA", at positions 28 to 368 of the family's 1533-position model. The record is from RNAcentral.